RNAcentral lists this transfer RNA (72 nucleotides) under Candidatus Woesearchaeota archaeon. RNAcentral's name for it is "tRNA-Arg". It matches the Rfam family "tRNA". Rfam says of the family: Transfer RNA (tRNA) molecules are approximately 80 nucleotides in length. Their secondary structure includes four short double-helical elements and three loops (D, anti-codon, and T loops). The record is from RNAcentral. Lineage: Archaea; Nanobdellati; Candidatus Woesearchaeota.
GUCCCCAUAGUAUAAUGGAUAGAACACAACCUUGCGGAGGUUGAGAUCUGGGUUCGAUUCCCAGUGGGGACG